RNAcentral lists this ribosomal RNA (253 nucleotides) under uncultured bacterium. Its description in RNAcentral is "partial 16S ribosomal RNA". It matches the Rfam family "Bacterial small subunit ribosomal RNA", at positions 524 to 776 of the family's 1533-position model. The record is from RNAcentral.
UACAGAGGUCCCAAGCGUUGUUCGGAUUCAUUGGGCGUAAAGGGUGUGUAGGUGGCGCCGUAAGUCGGGUGUGAAAUUUCGGAGCUUAACUCCGAAACUGCAUUCGAUACUGCGGUGCUUGAGGACUGGAGAGGAGACUGGAAUUCACGGUGUAGCAGUGAAAUGCGUAGAUAUCAGGAGGAAUACCGAUGGCGAAGGCAGGUCUCUGGGCUGACACUGACGCUCAUGCACGAAAGCGUGGGGAGCAAACAGG